GGGUGCGAUCAUACCAGCACUAAUGCAUCGGAUCGCAUCGGAACUCCAAAGUUAAGCGUGCUUGGGUGAGAAUGGUACUAAGACGAGCUUUGUCACAGGACUUCCACAAACACAGGCA
This 118-nucleotide ribosomal RNA is filed under the name Cephalotus follicularis. Lineage: Eukaryota; Viridiplantae; Streptophyta; Magnoliopsida; Oxalidales; Cephalotaceae. The record is from RNAcentral.